CCUCUUCAGGCAUUGGAAGGCUGGUGCCAGAGAACAGGGCUAACGCCUACUGGAAGCACCAACCAAAAUUUCCUGAAUUCGACUGUUUCAGGAGCAGGGUGCAAUGUUUUUAGUACAAGAGACACGAAAGUCAUCCAGUCUAUCCCUUCACUCUGCAGAUGAGGGAUUCAGGUGUAGCGAGGGGAAGGGACUUGCUCAAGGUCUCUCCUGGAGAGCUGCAGAACCAGGCUGAGAACACGGGUGGUCUGACUGCUGAGCUAAUAGAGUCAGGCUGGGUCAUGCAAAAAGGAUGUGAGUCAGGGCGGAUCCUGUUCUGCUGGUGUUCAAAUGUGGCAUGUGUUCCUGUUGGCUCAAGGCUGGCCAGGACCGUACAGUCCAGGUGAACAACCCAUCUGGGUAGAGUGGACUCAGCCAGGUCCCAGGGGCCAAUGUGGCUGUGAGGAUGGACACAUAAAGCUAGCAUUGUGCAGCAAGCAUUUUGCUACUGCUGUGUUUCAACUCCAGCACUUGCAGGCCCUGCGGGAAGCACUGGCUGUCAACUUUGGUUGGUAGGAUUUGCCUGUUCUUGAGGAUCCCUCUAGCUGACCUGAUUUCUAAAACUCAUCUGUUCUGACUGCUGACCUGCUCUGAUCCCUUCUAUCACUGCUGUUCGACUGGCUGCUCUCCCACUCCACAGCUAACCCCAGGUGUCCAUGCUCCCAUGGGACUGAUUUUUCUUGAGCCCUGUGACCUGUGUCCCCAAGACCUUGGAGUCUCCCCACCAGCUCUUCUAUUUUGACUGGAGAUUUAGGGAGGAGAGUGUGCACAGAGGAUGGGUGAGGGGCUGCAUCCUGGAGAUGACAGUGCAUGAUUCUCCUCCCAUGGCCACCACAGUCCACUGGCCAGAACUCAGUCACAUGGAGUUUGGCUAAGUGCUAGGGGGCUGGGGGAAGGAACUGAUUUUGGUGAUUCUCAGUCUCUGACAUAAGAUCUAGCCUUCACUUGCACCAUUUCCCAGAGAUUCCCCACUUGGAGGUCACCAGUAAGCUCUGAUUUCUAAGCCUAAUGGCCAUAUCUCAACCUUUAUCUCCUUCACUUCCCAACAGCCAAUACUGCUGGCUCCUACCAUCCUUCCUCUUUCUCCCCCUACUUCUUCUCAGGAAAAAAGGGGCUCCUUUUCUUGUACCCUCAGUCACUAUCCCUAUGCUGCUAACUGGUACCUCUAUACCCAGAACCCAGGUCUUUCUCCUGAGGACAGACUGUACAUCCAGAUCCCCAGGAAGUGCCUCUCACAGAAUGUCUCACAGUGUGUCCUGCUCAGCAUGUUCUAAGCUCUGACAGGGAUUCACCAUCUUCCCUUCAAAGAUGCUUCUCA
RNAcentral lists this long non-coding RNA (1354 nucleotides) under Marmota monax (woodchuck). Lineage: Eukaryota; Metazoa; Chordata; Mammalia; Rodentia; Sciuridae. The record is from RNAcentral.